AGUGGCGAACGGGUGAGUAACACGUAGGUGACCUGCCCCAAGGUGGGGAAUAACUAUGGGAAACCAUGGCUAAUACCCCAGAUGUUUAAGUUUUUAGAGUACUUAAACUAAAGUUUCGAUGCCUUGGGAGGGGCCUGCGGGCUAUCAGCUUGUUGGUGAGGUAAAAGCUCACCAAGGCUAAGACGGCUAGGGGGCGUGAGAGCGCGAUCCCCCACAAUGGAACUGAGACACGGUCCAUACUCCUACGGGAGGCAGCAGUGAGGAAUAUUGCGCAAUGGGGGCAACCCUGACGCAGCAACGCCGCGUGGACGAUGAAGGCCUUCGGGUUGUAAAGUCCUUUUUUUGAGGGAAGAUAAUGACGGUACCUCAAGAAUAAGUCCCGGCUAACUACGUGCCAGCAGCCGCGGUAAAACGUAGGGGGCGAGCGUUAUCCGGAUUUAUUGGGCGUAAAGCGCGCGUAGGCGGUAUUAUAAGUUGGAUGUGAAAGCUCUUGGCUUAACUGAGAGAGGCCGUUCAAUACUGUAGUACUUGAGGUUGGAAGAGGAGAGUGGAAUUCCCGGUGUAGUGGUGGAAUGCGUAGAUAUCGGGAGGAACACCAGUGGCGAAAGCGACUCUCUGGUCCAUACCUGACGCUGAGGUGCGAAAGCGUGGGGAGCGAACGGGAUUAGAUACCCC
This 675-nucleotide ribosomal RNA is filed under the name uncultured bacterium. RNAcentral describes it as "bacterial SSU rRNA". It matches the Rfam family "Bacterial small subunit ribosomal RNA", at positions 94 to 788 of the family's 1533-position model. The record is from RNAcentral.